GUCCAGAGAGUGACCCGGAGUGUGUUUGAUUAUUAUUAAUUUGUUUUAAACGCACUAAGGCCUUAAACUAAGCUAAUUGGCGCUUGUGCUUUUGCCGCAGUUAGACGGCUGAGCACACACCGCUUCUCCUUCAUCUCGUAAGAUAUGAUGCAUAUAUACACUGGUGAAUUUUAUAUCCUCUCUCUCCAAAAUGUUUUAUUUCAGCAGCAAGAAAACUUGUUUGUUGUCAAAAGUGGAAUGUUAGUUGUACCACUCAUGUUACUAUGGCAACCUGUAAUAGGAACACCUAACUGCGACUUCAUAGUACAGUGACUGGUGACUUGCAGUGAUAAAAUUGCUGUAUGUGUGAAGGCAGCAUUAUGCAGCGCAGUGUCCGUCACAUAUUAGAAGAUCUUUACAGAGGAAGCUGACAGUCGCAUCAUUGACAUCAUGUUUCUAGUUUCGUGCUCGGCCACGGUUAGCGAUCACACUAGAUGUGUACCGUGCGUGAUUCCAACUCUUCAAGCGGGCCUGGGCAUGGUAUGGAGCGAUCACCACCAAACUGGACUUUGGGGGUCAAACGUGCUCGGGCACGUUACCAAUCAUCUAGUGUGGAUCAGUUUAUUAACCUUCUCAAAGGGCAAGGAGUUAACCUGGACGACCGCAGUCUGGAACCAAGGAGGGGAACACACCUCAACUCACGAUCGAUUCACUGAACUGUUCCUCCACGUCUUCGACCACGCUCCAGAAGGAGGUGGGAGGAAACCAGAGAACCCAGAGGAAACCCACAUGGACAUGGGGAGAACAAGCACAGAAACUCCACACAGACAGAAGCCCGAGCUCAGGACUGAAGCGGGGACCCUGGAGCUGUGAGGAGACAACGCUACCCACUGCAUCACCACACUGCUCAUAGAUCCACAGAGUUCCCCUUUUGUAUAGAUGGUAAUGAAUCAAAAACAGUACAGCUGUGUAACGCUAAACUGGAAAUUAGCUGAUAUUAUUAUUUGAAAUCAAUUUAUUCAUUAUUAUUUAUUUACUGAAUUAAUUUUUUUGAAUUUUGUCAAAGUAAUGAAAGUGUCACAGUUCAGUCCACAUCGACCGCGCUUGAGUUUUGGAAGGCAUGCAACUUAAAAAAAACAAAAACUCUCUCUCUAUGUAUAUAUGUAUGUGUGUAAUAAUGCAAAGUGUAAUAGAAAAGUCAUUUACUUGUAACUGUCACGUCUUCAUUCUGGUCUUAGCUGUAAAUAGAUGCGUGUGAAUUUCACACCUUUUUCUGCUGUCUCUCAUAUAAAAUGCAGGAAGUGAAGAUGGUCACUGACAGAGGGACAGCAGAAAAAGGUGUGAAAUUCACACACAUCUAUUUACAGCUAAGACCAGAAUGAAGAAGUGACGUACAGGUUACAGGAAAAUAGGCUACUUAUCAAAAAAAUUUGAGCUUGAUCUCUUGUACAUCGUUUUAUAAUCGAAGUAUUGGACGAAUUAAAUUAAUCUUUGUAUCUAAUCUUUAUAUCUUUGUAUUUAAUCUCUUAAUAUUUAUGUGUAAUAAUUAGAAUAAUUGACUAUUAUUAAUGUCUUAAUAAUGUGAGAUUAAUCUGAAAAUAAACGAAAGACAUACAAUACAGUUUAGUGUAAUUGUGCAGUUGUCAACAGCCGGGGCGUCGCUAAACCCUUUUUACUGGGACACGAGUCUUUUUGAAGUGAUUUGUUCAUUUAGGAGGCUGGUUAGUUAGUUCACUCAUAAAAAUGUUAAUCAAACACACCUGCCUGUAAUUUUCUGCGUUUAAAUCUUUGGAUAGAUGUUUCAGGUGUGUGAUUAGGGAUGGAGUUAAACUCUGCAGGACAGUGCAGUGGCCCUCAGGACCGGAAUCGCCCAUCCCUGGUUUAGGAGAUAAUUUCACAGUUUCAGUGGCUCCAUUAUAUUGUCUGGUAUUUGUGUAAAUAAAACAUAAUGAAUUUGUUUUUGGGGACUAGGUUUCUGAUGGACUAGGAUUGGAGAGGAAGGAUUUUAAAUGUAAUGAUAAUGUUUAUAUAUUUGUUGUUUUAUAUACAGGUUAUUUCAAAAGUCACUACUGUAUUAUUGUGAUGGGAUUUCAGGUGCCAGCUUUUUAUUUCAAAAAAUCAUUUCUUCUCUUGUCUUUUUGAACAGAGUGUAUAUCUAUGUGUGUUUAUUUCAGGAGUUUUAAUAGAAAUGAGGUAUAGUAAAUAUCAAAUAAAAUGUAAACUUGCAUUGAUGAA
Molecule: long non-coding RNA, 2214 nt
Organism: Ictalurus punctatus (channel catfish)
Lineage: Eukaryota; Metazoa; Chordata; Actinopteri; Siluriformes; Ictaluridae
Exons: 3
Source: RefSeq, a predicted model, not a curated record